CUCGAGCCAGCUCAAGCCCGCAGCUCGCAGGGAGAUCCAGCUCCGUCCUGCCUGCAGCAGCCCAACCCUGCACACCCGCCAUGGAUGUCUUCAAGAAGGGCUUCUCCAUCGCCAAGGAGGGCGUGGUGGGUGCGGUGGAAAAGACCAAGCAGGGGGUGACGGAAGCAGCUGAGAAGACCAAGGAGGGGGUCAUGUAUGUGGGAGCCAAGACCAAGGAGAAUGUUGUACAGAGCGUGACCUCAGUGGCCGAGAAGACCAAGGAGCAGGCCAACGCCGUGAGCGAGGCUGUGGUGAGCAGCGUCAACACUGUGGCCACCAAGACCGUGGAGGAGGCGGAGAACAUCGCGGUCACCUCCGGGGUGGUGCGCAAGGAGGACUUGAAGCCAUCUGCCCCCCAACAGGAGGGUGAGGCAUCCAAAGAGAAAGAGGAAGUGGCAGAGGAGGUAGGAGCUGGGCUCCUGGGGUGCACCAUGGGGGGUUCCUGGGUAGGGACCCCAUCCCCCACAGACGCACUGCUUGCCUCCUGGGCUCCCAGGGCCCAGAGGGGCCUCCUGACCUUCCAUAGCCCCUACAGGGACUGUGUGCAGGGCUAACCCUCAACCUGAGUGGGAGGUCCCCCCACGGAUGACCCCUCAGGCAUG
RNAcentral lists this small RNA (641 nucleotides) under Pan troglodytes (chimpanzee). RNAcentral describes it as "processed transcript". The record is from RNAcentral. Lineage: Eukaryota; Metazoa; Chordata; Mammalia; Primates; Hominidae.